GAGCCCGUAGCUUAGUCUGGCUAGAGCACCGGUCUUAUAAGCCGGGGGUCGUGCGUUCAAAUCGCGCCGGGCUCA
This 75-nucleotide transfer RNA is filed under the name Nanobdellota archaeon. RNAcentral's name for it is "tRNA-Ile". It matches the Rfam family "tRNA". From Rfam's summary of the family: Transfer RNA (tRNA) molecules are approximately 80 nucleotides in length. Their secondary structure includes four short double-helical elements and three loops (D, anti-codon, and T loops). Lineage: Archaea; Nanobdellati; Nanobdellota. The record is from RNAcentral.